Molecule: long non-coding RNA, 788 nt
Organism: Setaria italica (foxtail millet)
Lineage: Eukaryota; Viridiplantae; Streptophyta; Magnoliopsida; Poales; Poaceae
Exons: 2
Source: RefSeq, a predicted model, not a curated record
CCUUAGGCUGGAAACAACCCUGCUAGUAAAGCACAACACGGUCAGUUCGAUGCUAGCUAGACUCUGCUACAGUGAAGCCAGGGACCAUUUACAGCUACCGUUGGGCGACCGUAGCACGUCGCGCAUUGAUAGUUUCAGUCCACAGGGGAAAGCAACAAAGCAAGCAGCAGGCCGGGCCAUCAGACAAGCUCGCAUUAAAGGCGGCCUCGUCAUUGUUGUUGCCGCUGUUGACUAAGUUUAUGAGGUCGGACCGGCCGGAUCACACAGCCACACAGGACACCAGCUUAUGAUUACGUUCACUCUGAGGCCUGCGUUGCUUCCUAGGACCAGGAAUUACGUAGGUUGUUGAAGGUUGGCUGAGGUAACCAGACGUGGGUUUGUUGAAGGCUCACCUAACCUAACCAGGGCCCAGCUGGCUCUCUGUGCCGUCGAAAAUCUCAGGUCAUGGGGCCUGUCGUCAGAGCUGGAUAUGCAUCAGAGCCCCUCCUGCCCAUGACGCUGCUCGAUCAGUUGAGUUAUGUACCGUAUUUAUUGUAUGGAGAUGUGGUCCUGCAUGUGUAUGUGCAUCCUUUCCUUCCUCUAGCAGGAUAUUGAAGAAUUUAUGGCAGGAACAGCAGCUUGAUCCAGCUGCUGCUGAUGCUCGACAAGACUCUACUUGUCCAAACGCUAGAUGGUAUUAUAUUCCAAACGCUAUAAACAAGCGCAGAAUUCCUUGGAUUUUCAGCUGCUGGAUGGUAUGUAUUAUAUUCCAAACGCUAUAAACAAGUGCAGAAUUCCUUGGAUUUUCA